This 651-nucleotide ribosomal RNA is filed under the name uncultured bacterium. RNAcentral describes it as "bacterial SSU rRNA". It matches the Rfam family "Bacterial small subunit ribosomal RNA", at positions 28 to 670 of the family's 1533-position model. The record is from RNAcentral.
AUUGAACGCUGGCGGCAGGCCUAACACAUGCAAGUCGAGCGGUAGCACAGAGAGCUUGCUCUCGGGUGACGAGCGGCGGACGGGUGGGUAAUGUCUGGGAAACUGCCUGAUGGAGGGGGAUAACUACUGGAAACGGUAGCUAAUACCGCAUAACGUCGCAAGACCAAAGUGGGGGACCUUCGGGCCUCAUGCCAUCAGAUGUGCCCAGAUGGGAUUAGCUAGUAGGUGGGGUAAUGGCUCACCUAGGCGACGAUCCCUAGCUGGUCUGAGAGGAUGACCAGCCACACUGGAACUGAGACACGGUCCAGACUCCUACGGGAGGCAGCAGUGGGGAAUAUUGCACAAUGGGCGCAAGCCUGAUGCAGCCAUGCCGCGUGUGUGAAGAAGGCCUUAGGGUUGUAAAGCACUUUCAGCGAGGAGGAAGGGUUCAGUGUUAAUAGCACUGAACAUUGACGUUACUCGCAGAAGAAGCACCGGCUAACUCCGUGCCAGCAGCCGCGGUAAUACGGAGGGUGCAAGCGUUAAUCGGAAUUACUGGGCGUAAAGCGCACGCAGGCGGUUUGUUAAGUCAGAUGUGAAAUCCCCGAGCUUAACUUGGGAACUGCAUUUGAAACUGGCAAGCUAGAGUCUUGUAGAGGGGGGUAGAAUUCC